Molecule: ribosomal RNA, 250 nt
Filed under: uncultured bacterium
Lineage: Bacteria
Description: partial 16S ribosomal RNA
Rfam family: Bacterial small subunit ribosomal RNA
Source: RNAcentral
GCCUACGGGGGGCAGCAGUAGGGAAUCUUCCACAACGGACGAAAGUCUGAUGGAGCAACGCCGCGUGAGUGGAGAAGGGUUUCGGCUCGUAAAGCUCUGUUGGUAGUGAAGAAAGAUAGAGGUAGUAACUGGCCUUUAUUUGACGGUAAUUACUUAGAAAGUCACGGCUAACUACGUGCCAGCAGCCGCGGUAAUAAGUAGGGGGGAAGCGUUGUUCGGAUUUAUUGGGGGUAAAGCGAGUGCAGGCGGG